This 253-nucleotide ribosomal RNA is filed under the name uncultured prokaryote. RNAcentral's name for it is "partial 16S ribosomal RNA". It matches the Rfam family "Bacterial small subunit ribosomal RNA", at positions 524 to 776 of the family's 1533-position model. The record is from RNAcentral.
UACGAAGGGGGCAAGCGUUGCUCGGAAUCACUGGGCGUAAAGCGCACGUAGGCGGCUUUCUAAGUCAGGUGUGAAGUCCUGGAGCUCAACUCCAGAACUGCCUUUGAUACUGGGAAGCUCGAGUCCGGAAGAGGUGAGUGGAACUCCGAGUGUAGAGGUGAAAUUCGUAGAUAUUCGGAAGAACACCAGUGGCGAAGGCGGCUCACUGGUCCGGUACUGACGCUGAGGUGCGAAAGCGUGGGGAGCAAACAGG